Molecule: long non-coding RNA, 326 nt
Filed under: Androctonus crassicauda
Lineage: Eukaryota; Metazoa; Arthropoda; Arachnida; Scorpiones; Buthidae
Source: RNAcentral
GGAAUUAUGUGUGGUCAUAUGACGUGUAUCACGAGCGAGACGAGCACGAGUCUCAGCUUCGGGUGGGUGCUGUGGUGGAGGCCUAUAUAGCACGACGUUGGCCGGGGCUUGUUCUAGCGACGGAUAUGGAGAGUCGUGGUCCAGUGUGGUAUGGGACUCAUUGGGGAGCGGACCCUUCUCUAGUGACUUGUCUGGGAACUCUAAAGACGAACUUGCGGUGUAUUCAUAGUCUUGUGGAUGCGGAGCGGCCCACUUGGCGAUGGCUUUUUCCGGCGUAUACAGUGGCGAUGACGUUUUGUCAACCAUGGGUCGUGUCCCGGUCGGGG